GAUGAACGCUAGCGGCAGGCUUAACACAUGCAAGUCGAGGGGCAGCACGUCUUCGGAUGGUGGCGACCGGCGCACGGGUGAGUAACGCGUAUGCAAUCUACCUUUUACAGGGGCAUAGCCCGGGGAAACCCGGAUUAAUAUCCUAUAGUACCAUUAUAUAGCAUUAUAUUAUGGUUAAAGUUUCGGCGGUAAAAGAUGAGCAUGCGUCCUAUUAGCUUGAUGGUAAGGUAACGGCUUACCAUGGCUAUGAUAGGUAGGGGUCCUGAGAGGGAGACCCCCCACACUGGUACUGAGACACGGACCAGACUCCUACGGGAGGCAGCAGUGAGGAAUAUUGGACAAUGGGCGCAAGCCUGAUCCAGCCAUGCCGCGUGCAGGAAGACGGCCCUAUGGGUUGUAAACUGCUUUUUANACGGGAAGAAACACCCCUUCGUGAAGGGACUUGACGGUACCGUAUGAAUAAGGAUCGGCUAUCUCCGUGCCAGCAGCCGCGGUAAUACGGAGGA
This 506-nucleotide ribosomal RNA is filed under the name uncultured bacterium. RNAcentral's name for it is "bacterial SSU rRNA". It matches the Rfam family "Bacterial small subunit ribosomal RNA", at positions 28 to 532 of the family's 1533-position model. The record is from RNAcentral.